This 274-nucleotide ribosomal RNA is filed under the name uncultured bacterium. RNAcentral's name for it is "partial 16S ribosomal RNA". It matches the Rfam family "Bacterial small subunit ribosomal RNA", at positions 523 to 796 of the family's 1533-position model. The record is from RNAcentral.
AUACGGAGGGUGCAAGCGUUAUUCGGAAUCACUGGGCGUAAAGGGUACGUAGGCGGGUUGGCAAGUCAGAUGUGAAAUCCUACAGCUUAACUGUAGAACUGCAUUUGAAACUGCUAACCUAGAGUAUGGGAGGGGGAGAUGGAAUUAGUGGUGUAGGGGUAAAAUCCGUAGAUAUCACUAGGAAUACCGAAAGCGAAGGCGAUCUCCUGGAACAUAACUGACGCUAAGGCGUGAAAGCGUGGGGAGCAAACAGGAUUAGAUACCCUAGUAGUCC